GAUGAGAAGCUUCGACUAAGGUUCGACUCGAGCGAAGCGAGAGAACGUUGCCGCAGGCAACGGCCCGAAGGGCGAGGCGCUUUAGCGCCGAGUAAUCCUUCCCCCACCACCA
Molecule: small RNA, 112 nt
Filed under: Klebsiella pneumoniae
Lineage: Bacteria; Pseudomonadati; Pseudomonadota; Gammaproteobacteria; Enterobacterales; Enterobacteriaceae
Also listed under: 1 other name
Description: RtT sRNA
Rfam family: RtT RNA
About the family: This family represents a bacterial cis-regulatory element known as RtT RNA. The exact function of RtT is unknown although it is thought that it may be involved in changing the cellular response in relation to amino acid starvation.
Source: RNAcentral